RNA transcript from Amblyraja radiata (thorny skate), 3257 nucleotides. It is a transcript of the gene named transmembrane protein 259, with no coding region annotated. Lineage: Eukaryota; Metazoa; Chordata; Chondrichthyes; Rajiformes; Rajidae. The transcript is spliced from 11 exons. The record is from RefSeq and is a predicted model, not a curated record.
GAGCGAGCGGGCGGGCGGGAAGCUGCGGGUCGGGGGGAGCGCGGCUGGAAAAGGGGGAGUAAAAUAAAACUUAAAACAUUAUCCUGUUCCCCCCCUCCCCCUCCCCCCUCCACUCCACCGACAAGUGAAUUAUAACACGGUCCCGGCAUUAGAGACUGGGAGCCGAGCGUGGCUUGCGGAGACCGGAGCGGCCUUGCCUUGCCCUAGUUGCCGGGCUGAGGAAGGAAGGAAGGAAGGAAGAUGUCGGAGAACCAGGCGAACAACGCCAACAACCGGGCGCGGAACAACAACGUCAACCCCAACCCGCUCAUCAAUGUCCGCGACCGCCUCUUCCACGCUCUCUUCUUCAAGAUGGCCGUCACCUACGCCAGGGUCUUCCCCCCCUCGUUCCGCAGGAUGUUCGAGUUCUUCGUGCUGCUCAAGGCUCUCUUUGUGCUUUUUAUUUUGGCUUAUAUUCACAUUGCCUUUUCGCGAUCUCCAAUCAACUGCUUGGAGCACAUCCGUGAGAAAUGGCCGCGGGAUGGUAUUCUCCGUGUAGAAAUCCAACGGAAUUCCAGCCGUGCACCCAUUUUUCUUCAGUUCUACGAAUCGGAUAACUUUGCAGGAAUGGUGAAGGAGCCAACAGAAGACGAAGAAGAGCUGAGCGUAGAAAUGUUUGACAACACUUCCAUACAGUUUGAACUAGACAUAGAGCCUAAAGUGUUCUUAAAGCCCUCACUUGGAAAUAAGCCCGACGUUGUAACACAGGUGGUGCAAAAUGACAGCCAGGGACUUUCAUUUACAGAGGCACCGACGAAAGGAAUGCAGCCUCUGCAGGAAACUGUCUCCGAGUUUGAGAUGCUGACAAGAGCAGUUUGGCCACAAGAGGAGUACAUUGUUGAAUACUCAUUGGAGUAUGGAUUCCUGCGUCUCUCUCAGAGCACCAGGCAGCGCCUCAACAUCCCAGUUAUGGUCGUUACGCUAGAUCCAACUAAAGAUCUCUGCUUUGGGGAUGGCUUUAGCCGGUUUCUUUUGGAUGAAUUCUUGGGGUAUGAUGAUAUACUGAUGUCCAGUGUGAAAGCAUUGGCUGAAAAUGAAGAAAACAAAGGGUUUUUGCGCAAUGUUGUAUCAGGAGAACACUACCGUUUUGUCAGCAUGUGGAUGGCCAGAACCUCCUACCUAGCAGCCUUCGUCAUCAUGGUCAUAUUUACAUUGUCAGUUUCUAUGCUGUUACGUUACUCUCAUCAUCAGAUCUUUGUCUUUAUUGUUGAUUUGUUGCAGAUGCUGGAGAUGAACAUGACCAUUGCAUUUCCUGCAGCUCCUUUACUUACAGUGAUACUAGCACUCGUUGGUGAGAAUGUUUUGUCAUCUGUAGAGUUUUUAUUGAGACACAACAGACUGCAGAUGCUGGAGAGGGAGCAAAAAGCAAACUGCUGGAGGAACUCAUUGGGUCAGGCAGCAUCUGUGGAGGGAAAUUGGCAGUUGAUGUUUUGGGUCGAGACCCUUCAUCUGAACUGCGUGGAGGGGAGAUGGCCAGUAAAAAGGGAUGGAAGCCAUAAUGUCGGAAUUCUUCAAUGACACGACCACGGCAUUUUAUAUCAUUUUAAUUGUCUGGUUGGCAGACCAGUAUGACGCAAUUUGCUGUCAUACUAACACCAGCAAACGCCAUUGGCUUCGAUUCUUUUACCUGUACCACUUUGCCUUUUAUGCCUAUCAUUAUCGCUUCAAUGGCCAGUACAGCAGUUUGGCUUUGGUAACAUCUUGGCUGUUCAUUCAGCACUCGAUGAUCUACUUCUUCCAUCACUAUGAACUGCCGGCUAUUCUUCAACAAAUUCGCAUUCAGGAGAUGUUGCUCCAGAACCAACAGGCUGGCCAAGCCAACCAGACAACACUUCAGGAUAACCUCAACAACAACACUGCCACAGAAAGUGUUCAACAAAACCCCACUGAUCCAGAAAAUCUUCUUGAACCUACUCCUGGUCCUGCCCAGUCGAAUGAUGCACCCAGCCUAGCAGACAGCAUUCAACCUACUCGCAUGCAGAAUGCAAACCCUGAGGAGACCCCAUUAAGUGGUAAUCUGAAUUGGGUGGCAGAAACUGCAGCAAUCAUAUCAGAAGGCAUUGCAGCUCCAGAAAGGAAUACUUCUGCAGAGAGCUCCGGCAAUGUGAACGAGACAUUAAGUAAUAAUGGUUCAAAUGUCCCGAAUGUUUUAAAUGAUUCUAGUCCCAUUGAACAUGUUCAACCAACUUCAAGUUCCGAAGCUAAUGAAGCCGUGUCUUCGCACAGUGGUGAUCUUCAAACAGUAAUGGACCUCAGCACAAGGAAUCAUUGUGCAACAGAGAACCAAGAGGGAGUUGUCACUAAAAGUGACCGCCAGGACUUGUGUCCCACACAAGACAAUGAAACCCAUGUGCAUUCAUCUCUACCUGAUAAUGAUGUUAGUUUUGACCAAUCAGAAAUGGACCGUGGCAGCCAAACUAAUGUUUCAAAGAGCACAAACACAGAGACAAGUGGGCACAGCGUUUCAUGAACCUUCCGGCAUGUUUGCUGUUCUAUCAGGCAGUUUGCUAAAAAGGCCCUUUUUUAAAAAGUUCACAAAAUAUGUACCAAUUGGUAAGGGGGAUCCACUGUAACAUCGAGCGUUUUCAUUUGCAAAACCAAAAUGUCCCACUACUUUCAGCUGGUUUCCUAAAGUAAAUAGGAGGGAGUGGAGCAGCACCCUGCUCGGUGAACGUCAAUGGUCGGAGCUCAAUUGGAAUGAUAACCCCUCCAUUCAAUCACCGUGUCCCUAACCGUCAGCACUGCUGUGUGCAUUACUGUUACACUAGUGCAAUGAUCGGUCUGCAGUGGCAGCGGAAGACCUCCUACAAAGAAUCAACGGAACUCGCAGCUGGGUACCCAAAAAAAGGCAAAUGUGUGAAAGGCGGUAGAAGAUGCUUGUUCCUUUGAACUCACAGCAUACAUACAUGUAAGUUGAUUCCACAGUGCAAUAAUUUGACGUGUAUUGAUUCAAUUCUGCUAAUGUCUUAUUACCUGAAAGACUUUCAAGUCUUCUUUCUUGAACUGGUGCCUACAUACAGAAGAAAUUCAAAAGAAGGUAGUGUAGCAAUUCCAGUGGCUUCUAAUAAACUUUAAACCUAAACUAAUUUGGAACUGAUUCUGAUUGAUUUUUUUUUUUUUUGUUGACAAUAUUGUAUUUAAAUGUAAUGUAAGAGUUUCAGUCUUUGUACAUAUUAAAAUAAAUGAGAUCUGAACAUGCUUGUGAAUUACUUUUAAAA